AUACGGAGGGUCCAAGCGUUAUCCGGAAUCAUUGGGUUUAAAGGGUGCGCAGGCGGUUUAUUAAGUCAGUGGUGAAAUCUCGGGGCUCAACUCCGAAACUGCCAUUGAUACUGAUAAACUUGAGUUCAGUUGGAGUAGGCGGAAUGUGUAGUGUAGCGGUGAAAUGCUUAGAUAUUACACAGAACACCGAUAGCGAAGGCAGCUUACUAAACUGAUACUGACGCUGAGGCACGAAAGCGUGGGGAGCGAACAGGAUUAGAAACCCGAGUAGUCC
RNAcentral lists this ribosomal RNA (274 nucleotides) under uncultured bacterium. RNAcentral describes it as "partial 16S ribosomal RNA". It matches the Rfam family "Bacterial small subunit ribosomal RNA", at positions 523 to 796 of the family's 1533-position model. The record is from RNAcentral.